RNAcentral lists this ribosomal RNA (490 nucleotides) under uncultured bacterium. RNAcentral describes it as "partial 16S ribosomal RNA". It matches the Rfam family "Bacterial small subunit ribosomal RNA", at positions 30 to 507 of the family's 1533-position model. The record is from RNAcentral.
AUUGAACGCUGGCGGCAGGCCUAACACAUGCAAGUCGAACGGUAACAGGAAGCAGCUUGCUGCUUUGCUGACGAGUGGCGGACGGGUGAGUAAUGUCUGGGAAACUGCCUGAUGGAGGGGGAUAACUACUGGAAACGGUAGCUAAUACCGCAUAACGUCGCAAGACCAAAGAGGGGGACCUUCGGGCCUCUUGCCAUCGGAUGUGCCCAGAUGGGAUUAGCUAGUAGGUGGGGUAACGGCUCACCUAGGCGACGAUCCCUAGCUGGUCUGAGAGGAUGACCAGCCACACUGGAACUAAGACACGGUCCAGACUCCUACGGGAGGCAGCAGUGGGGAAUAUUGCACAAUGGGCGCAAGCCUGAUGCAGCCAUGCCGCGUGUAUGAAGAAGGCCUUCGGGUUGUAAAGUACUUUCAGCGGGGAGGAAGGGAGUAAAGUUAAUACCUUUGCUCAUUGACGUUACCCGCAGAAGAAGCACCGGCUAACUCCGUG